Molecule: long non-coding RNA, 171 nt
Organism: Schistocerca cancellata (South American locust)
Lineage: Eukaryota; Metazoa; Arthropoda; Insecta; Orthoptera; Acrididae
Exons: 3
Source: RefSeq, a predicted model, not a curated record
AGCAGCGAGCAACACGGCGCCGCCACGCUCCGCCUCGAGAGUGAGCGACUAUGUGAACCUGUUAUGGGUUGCUUCCCCAGCGGUGGCGUCAGUAACACAAAGGAGGAAGAGACGAGACGCAGCCCGGCGCUGGAGCUGUGGCGGCUGGAGCAGCGCGUGCGCACAGCGGAG